RNAcentral lists this ribosomal RNA (253 nucleotides) under uncultured bacterium. Its description in RNAcentral is "partial 16S ribosomal RNA". It matches the Rfam family "Bacterial small subunit ribosomal RNA", at positions 524 to 776 of the family's 1533-position model. The record is from RNAcentral.
UACAGAGGGUGCGAGCGUUAAUCGGAGUUACUGGGCGUAAAGGGCUCGUAGGUGGCCAACUAAGUCAGACGUGAAAUCCCUCAGCUUAACUGGGGAACUGCGUCUGAUACUGGAUGGCUUGAGUUUGGGAGAGGGAUGCGGAAUUCCAGGUGUAGCGGUGAAAUGCGUAGAUAUCUGGAGGAACACCGGUGGCGAAGGCGGCAUCCUGGACCAACACUGACACUGAGGAGCGAAAGCCAGGGGAGCAAACGGG